CACACGUAGGGUUUGGGAUUUUCCGGGAGAAAUCCGGAAGGUUCCGCCGGUGGCGUUCUUCAAGAGAAGACGCUGUUUGCCCUGCGGAGGUUAACCGGAAAAGGAGAAAAAGG
RNAcentral lists this small RNA (113 nucleotides) under Rhizobium sp. Root1212. RNAcentral's name for it is "rpsB sRNA". It matches the Rfam family "rpsB sRNA". Lineage: Bacteria; Pseudomonadati; Pseudomonadota; Alphaproteobacteria; Hyphomicrobiales; Rhizobiaceae. The record is from Rfam by way of RNAcentral.